CGAGAGACGUUUUCCUGGUGUUAGCGCAGAAGCAGACAUGCAGCCUGGAUAUGCUGGCUCCAGCCUGGCAGCUCUUUCGGCUGAGCAGGGACUGUGUGGAGCUCGGUGCCCACGCUGCCGCUGAGGAAGAAAGCUGCUCUCCCACUCUGUGCCGUGACGAUACACCUGCAGCCACAAGACCGUGGAGAUGGCGGCACUUGUCUCUGUUUGCCUGACUGGGGCCUUUGCAGGUGCUCCUCUUCCGAAGCUGUGCUGGCGUUCCAGGGCCGUGCAGAUGGGUAAUACAAUUUGCUGCAGUUUCUUACAUCAGUGUAGCAAAGCUCAAGCGAACAACCAGACUCUGACCUAAAUCAGUCCCAGUUCUUCGGGAUACAGGGCAGCAGGCGACUGGCAGUGAUACAAUCAGCCAUCAAGUGGAGAGGCUCUGGGACUGCAAUCUGUAUGGGUUGGAGUCUGUGAGAAUGAAACAGUUCCCGUUAUCCGGUCGCUUCUCCUUCUAAUAAUACAAUUGCUACAACUGCUACUACUACCGCAUCUGUUUCUCCAUGCCUGAAAGAAGCUGCUCCUUGCGCCCUCUCUGUGUGGGUAUUUGCGCAGAUUAGUCUGUUGGUAAUGCAGCCCUUAUCUGCUUCUGCUGGAAACCAGGGCACGAAGUCAGCCUGCCUUAACAGUUGUUUCUUUCUGCGUGAUGCUAUGCAGCUAGAAUGGGUUACGCUGACAACAAAGGAGCCAGCACAAAGCAUCACUUUAUUUGCUGGACUGCUACAGGAACCCGACUCUUCUUCGCUACGAAGCCCUGUUCUCUUCCCUUUUUGUUUUUUGUUUUUUGUUUUUUUUAUGUAAUUCAUCUAAUUGAAGAGCCUAACAGACACCAUCGUGGAUGUGGGUUUUAAUGAUUUGGAAAAGACAGCCUGUGGAGACUGCGAUUGGAGACUGCAACACGCUUAGGUUAUUGCCAAUUUGAAAUACUUGGUUUGUGAAGCACAGCCCUAAGGGACAAGCGCAGUAACUGAGAGAGAGAUCGUAGAUAAAGAAAUAAAAAUGACAAGCAUAAUGGAGGCUCUGCAAGAAACUGUCAGGGAAUCAGUUCAUGGAUGGCAAUUUCACCAGUCUGAAUCUGAAUAAUUCAUAGAUUGAAAUUACCCUGCUUUCACCUUUCCAUUUAAACUGGCAUGAUCUGAAUCUCUAAUAAAUUUUCAAGAUAAAGUAAAAUGCCAAUUUGAAUCUGAAGAGCUUUUAAAACCAAAUGCUACACCCUGAGUCUUUCGAUACCUUUCACAAUUAUCCUGUGAGAGCCGCACUUCAUCACGAAGCACCAUUACCAGUGAAAAUUACGGUGAUUACAAUAGCAACAAUAGAAUACCGUCAAAUGAUCUCCAAUUUACCUAAUUUACCAAGGUUGACUGUGUGCCCAUUGUGCUUCACUACGUCUGGCAUUGGAUCAAUAUCACAGAGGAAGAAAAAUGCCUUAGUAUAUGCUUCCUUUUGGUGCCUUUAACUUUGACAGCACAGGAAAAUCUAUCUCCUGUUAAAUGUUUUUACAGCCCAUCUGCAUGCCUGCCAUAGGAUCUGAUUGAUUCUCCAUCAUUUUCUUUGGUUGCUGAGUAUUGGAUGUUAUUGUGUUACUAAUUUGUUUAUAACGUGUACUCCUGCACAAAGACUGCAGCAAACGAGUAACAGCACAGCGACUGCGCUGCUGCAGCAGUAGCACUGCACUCUCUCGCAGGGGAAGCCAAAAUGAGUUUGGUGCCUUAUGUGAAUAAUCACUUGCAUCUGGGUUAUAAAUGCUUCCAAACAUCACUCAUCUUGGUUGCACGACAUGAGAAAUGUGUGCAAAAGUCGUGGUCAAGGGAAAUGGUUAUCUGUAAUCCUAACAAGAUUUCUCCCCUAUCCAGCAAUCAGUAUGAGGCUGUGAGAGAUAAGCUGUGACUCUUUCUUUAAAUGUGUGUGUGUACAUACGCAUGCACGUACAUAGGAGGUAAGGAUAGUAUGCGUUGUGAUUACGUGCUGAUCAGUGAAAGCCACAUUUCUCUGACAAGCCAGGCACAGUGUUUUGCCACAAUCUGCUCAGUUGUAACAAAUCCCGGUUUUGGAGUUUAUAUUUUCUAUAGGACAAUACGUGACUUCUGGAACAGUAAGUACCAUUUAUCCAGCAUGCCGGUGCCUGUAGCAAUGCCACGGAAUGGUAUUUUAAGCAUAGUUUGACUACAGUGUGGAUAAGUAAGAAACAUGCACAGGAGGCUACAACAGGCAUUCCUCCUGGAGAAGACUGUGUCCGUUGUCUGUAUGUGUGUGAGUUGUCCACAUCAAUCUUGUUUCUUCUUUUAUGACCAGAUUUACUCUGCCCCCACGAAGUAUUUGCUAAGGAAGACAAUCCCUGUGGAGCUGAUAGCUGUGGACUAAUGACUGGUAUACCAAGCAGAUAAGCUGUGGACAUUUUUCAGUGUUAACAUAAUGACUUUCAUCAAAGGAGGAAGAAGUCUACUUAUUUUUCAUUUUGUUAAGCAAGUGGAGAAACUCCUCCAGACGUAGUCGCUGCAGAAGCCUGGGGUCAGUGCACAGCUCGCUGCCUGCGGGAACCACCUUCUUUACAGGCUUCUGAAAAAUAAGCACAUUGCUCAGCCAUGUUAGGUCUUUCAUGUUGCGUGCUCCACACUAAAGAAAUAAGCUAGCAUUGUGAAAGAGACUGCCUGGUGACCGUCCCACCAUCUCUGUUGCUCACAGGAAACCACUACUGCUGCACUUGGGACAACACUGAUUCUUCUGUGUCUGAAGUUGUGGCUUCAAAUUGCAGUAAAGCUGAUAAAAUAACCAGCUGCUGUGAAAAGAAGUGUCCUCAUACUUCCCCUCUUGCAUGUAAUCUCCCUUGUGCUAGCUGUGGUCUGUGCCUGGUCCCAUGGUAAACUGGUGCAGGGAGAUGGCCAGCAACAUGCCACCCUCCUCAAAGAAGUAGUUCUCAGUGUGGAGUUGUCUUAGUCAAGUUUGUCAUUAAACAGCAGCAAGCACAAGAAACUACUGAGCAUUUUUUUCACAUGUGCAGGAAAAGAUUGAGGUUGUUUUAUUAUUUUACAAACCAAAAGAUCCAAAAUACCCCGUAUGGUAUUUUAUUACAUUAUCUCUUAUUCCUUGGAACCUAUCAUAGAA
RNAcentral lists this long non-coding RNA (3144 nucleotides) under Gallus gallus (chicken). RNAcentral describes it as "long non-coding RNA NONGGAT004045". The record is from RNAcentral. Lineage: Eukaryota; Metazoa; Chordata; Aves; Galliformes; Phasianidae.